Theobroma umbraticum is the source of this 546-nucleotide long non-coding RNA. RefSeq lists it as uncharacterized. NCBI's taxonomy places the organism in Eukaryota, Viridiplantae, Streptophyta, Magnoliopsida, Malvales, Malvaceae. The record is from RefSeq and is a predicted model, not a curated record.
CUAUCACAAUACCAAAAUUAAUUUGAACAUCUUCCCACUUUUACUCUCUUCCCUUAAGGAAAAAAAAAUAAAACCAAAUUUGUGAGAAAAUUGGGUUAUUCAAGCUGCGUGUGUUGGCAGACUGUUGGACGGAACCUUCAGAAGAGGUUUGAUAGACUCAAAGUUAGUCUUAUCUUCAGGGAAGCUACUACCGCAACAGAUGCACUGGCCGGAAGAGGUUCUGCUUCAGAAUUUGACUUUAACUUGCACAUCAUGAGCCUGCCUUUUGUUUCUUUAUUUGUAGCUGUGGUAGGGCUAGUACUGUACUCUAUCGUGAUGUGGGAACUUUGUAGCUGUGAGCUGUCUCUGUUUUGGUUGAUGCACGUCCUUAUUCAGCCAAAACAAAAGAAAAGAAAAGAAAAUAAAAUAAUUCUCUCCGGAUGGAAAUCGGUGUACCCAAAAACAUUUGCAUUUAUGGUUUGUCCAAUAAUCUUUGUCUGAGUAAAGAACAAGUGAUUUGGCAGGUUUAUAUUUUGAUUAUAGUUAUCAAUAUAGUAUGAUAUAAUA